GAUGAACGCUGGCGGCGUGCUUAACACAUGCAAGUCGAACGAAGCAUUUGCGACAGAUUUUUUCGGAAUGAAGUUGCUUAUGACUGAGUGGCGGACGGGUGAGUAACGCGUGGGUAACCUGCCUUGUACUGGGGGAUAGCAGCUGGAAACGGCUGGUAAUGCCGCAUAAGCGCACAAUGUUGCAUGACAUGGUGUGAAAAACUCCGGUGGUAUAAGAUGGACCCGCGUCUGAUUAGCUAGUUGGUGAGAUAACAGCCCACCAAGGCGACGAUCAGUAGCCGACCUGAGAGGGUGACCGGCCACAUUGGGACUGAGACACGGCCCAGACUCCUACGGGAGGCAGCAGUGGGGAAUAUUGCACAAUGGAGGAAACUCUGAUGCAGCGACGCCGCGUGAGUGAAGAAGUAAUUCGUUAUGUAAAGCUCUAUCAGCAGGGAAGAUAGUGACGGUACCUGACUAAGAAGCUCCGGCUAAAUACGUG
This 481-nucleotide ribosomal RNA is filed under the name uncultured bacterium. Its description in RNAcentral is "partial 16S ribosomal RNA". It matches the Rfam family "Bacterial small subunit ribosomal RNA", at positions 28 to 507 of the family's 1533-position model. The record is from RNAcentral.